AGAGUUUGAUCCUGGCUCAGAUUGAACGCUGGCGGCAUGCCUUACACAUGCAAGUCGAGCGGCAGCGCGGGGGCAACCCUGGCGGCGAGCGGCGCACGGGUGAGUAAUGCAUCGGAACGUGUCCUCUUGUGGGGGAUAACCAGUCGAAAGACUGGCUAAUACCGCAUGAGCACGAGAGUGGAAAGCGGGGGACCGCAAGGCCUCGCGCGAGAGGAGCGGCCGAUGCCGGAUUAGCUAGUUGGUAGGGUAACGGCCUACCAAGGCGACGAUCCGUAGCUGGUCUGAGAGGACGACCAGCCACACUGGGACUGAGACACGGCCCAGACUCCUACGGGAGGCAGCAGUGGGGAAUAUUGGACAAUGGGGGAAACCCUGAUCCAGCGACGCCGCGUGUGUGAAGAAGGCCUGCGGGUUGUAAAGCACUUUUAGUGGGGAUGAAAAGCUCAGGGAUAACACCUCUGGGUCUUGACCUAACCCACAGAAAAAGCACCGGCUAACUCUGUG
RNAcentral lists this ribosomal RNA (504 nucleotides) under uncultured bacterium. RNAcentral describes it as "bacterial SSU rRNA". It matches the Rfam family "Bacterial small subunit ribosomal RNA", at positions 8 to 507 of the family's 1533-position model. The record is from RNAcentral.